UAUAUGAGGAUUUGUGCAGAUAUAUAUUUAAUUCCAUAUCGGUUAUUUGCCGAAAAGAUUUUGGAUGCUUAUACAAGACUAAAGAACUCAAAUAAUAUCUUUCAACUAGUUUUUAGGAAAAGAUCAUGAGUUUUUAUAUUUAUAAAAUAAAAUUGUUUGCUCUCCAUAUAAAUCGAGAAGUUUGCUCUUGUUUGGUAGAAUGUAAUUCCUUCUUGUUAUGACAUGUUUCCUUUCUACGCCCUUCCCUCCUUGUUUCUCUUUAAAAAAAUGUUGAUGUCAUGACAAAGGAGUUUGCAUAUCUUGCUUAGUCGCUGCCAUGUUGUUCCUUUUUAAAAGAAUAAGGUAGUAAACAUACUUCUUGUUUGUGGGCGAAUAAAAAAAGAAAAUACUAGGAGCCAAUUUGCAUAGGGAUACUUUAGACUGGAAAAAUAAAUUUUAUAUUAGAUUGUGUUGGGGGAAAAAUGGAUCGUUCAAAGCACAUGGUCAAGUCGCCGAUACUUGAUGACGAACGUGACGACAGCAAGCAUACUCUUAGCAGUCACGACCUCAGAGCGCUCAGUCUCGGCAUCGACGACCCCAGAGCUCACGAUCUCGACCUCGGCAUGACCUUGGCAGGCAUGGUCUCCGUUGAGAUAAGCCCGAUCGAUCUCGAAGCCAAGAAAGACCCAGUCAAAGGGAGAAGCAAACCUCCCCACUCCACUGAAAAUCAAGUCCUCCAUAUUCGGGAUCAAAUUUCGCAAUCUCCGCCUCAACAGCUGUCAACAUUUGAAUCCACACGAUCUUAACGGAUCACCAGCUAUCCCGAAAUCUCGGGCCGUUUACGAUAACUCAUUGAUUUGCGCAAUCACGCCCGAUCACAGGUAACUGCUGCACCCCCUCCUAUAAAAAGGGGGUGAGAAACUCCAGGCGGGGGAUCUCUCUCCUCUUCCUCUCCGUGGCCAAAACACAUCACUACAUCAUUACUCUCCCCUCCAUUAUUCUCUCUCCAUUAAAAAUUCCUCUUUGACUUAAGCAUUGGAGGGCCUACGCCGGAACCUCCGGCCAC
This 1045-nucleotide long non-coding RNA is filed under the name Phoenix dactylifera (date palm). Its description in RNAcentral is "long non-coding RNA (PDAC_LNC008021)". The record is from RNAcentral. Lineage: Eukaryota; Viridiplantae; Streptophyta; Magnoliopsida; Arecales; Arecaceae.